GGGAAUCUACCUUUUGCUACGGAAUAACUCAGGGAAACUUGUGCUAAUACCGUAUGUGCCCUUCGGGGGAAAGAUUUAUCGGCAAAGGAUGAGCCCGCGUUGGAUUAGCUAGUUGGUGGGGUAAAGGCCCACCAAGGCGACGAUCCAUAGCUGGUCUGAGAGGAUGAUCAGCCACACUGGGACUGAGACACGGCCCAGACUCCUACGGGAGGCAGCAGUGGGGAAUAUUGGACAAUGGGCGCAAGCCUGAUCCAGCCAUGCCGCGUGAGUGAUGAAGGCCCUAGGGUUGUAAAGCCCUUUCACCGGUGAAGAUAAUGACGGUAACCGGAGAAGAAGCCCCGGCUAACUUCGUGCCAGCAGCCGCGGUAAUACGAAGGGGGCUAGCGUUGUUCGGAUUUACUGGGCGUAAAGCGCACGUAGGCGGACUUUUAAGUCAGGGGUGAAAUCCCAGAGCUCAACUCUGGAACUGCCUUUGAUACUGGAAGUCUUGAGUAUGGUAGAGGUGAGUGGAAUUCCGAGU
Molecule: ribosomal RNA, 520 nt
Filed under: uncultured bacterium
Lineage: Bacteria
Description: bacterial SSU rRNA
Rfam family: Bacterial small subunit ribosomal RNA
Source: RNAcentral